Molecule: long non-coding RNA, 449 nt
Organism: Aquila chrysaetos chrysaetos
Lineage: Eukaryota; Metazoa; Chordata; Aves; Accipitriformes; Accipitridae
Exons: 3
Source: RefSeq, a predicted model, not a curated record
CGGAGAUGCCGGGAGGUCAGGGCAGGGGGGACAUCUUUCGCCACCCGCCCCCCACCCUCACGUAGUGCCGGCACCCGGCUUUUCCAGCCAGGGUUUCCCAGGCUGUGGGUUAAUCACCUCGGGAAUUAAUUUGGCCCCCAAAUCCCGCCUUUCCUCACUCCCCUUUUCCCCUUUCAGCCGGAUCAGCGCCCCGAGCAGCCCAGCCCCAGGGAAAGGAGCCCCACGCAGAGCCAGGAGUGGUGAAACGCAGUGAGUUCUGCCUUUCUGCCCAUCGCAGGGGUCCAGCCAGGUCAGGAUCCGGCUGCUCUGGUUCCCAUCCGGGGCAGCAGCCGAGUGGCAAGCACCAAGUCGUUGGUCUCGAACAUGAGGACGUCCUGGAUGCCGAGGUCCUGCCGGCACCACUGGAUGAAGUUGGAGACGUUAUCCCGGGCGAUGAAGGAACCCGGCAC